This 359-nucleotide ribosomal RNA is filed under the name Candidatus Falkowbacteria bacterium CG10_big_fil_rev_8_21_14_0_10_38_22. RNAcentral's name for it is "bacterial SSU rRNA". It matches the Rfam family "Bacterial small subunit ribosomal RNA", at positions 1170 to 1533 of the family's 1533-position model. The record is from RNAcentral. Lineage: Bacteria; Candidatus Falkowiibacteriota.
AAGGUGGGGAUGACGUCAAAUCAGCAUGGUUCUUAUAUCUUGGGCGACACACGUGCUACAAUGGGAAGUACAAAGGGACGCCAAGCCGUAAGGUGGAGCAAAUCCCCCAAAACUUUUCUCAGUUCGGAUUGAGGUCUGCAACUCGACCUCAUGAAGCCGGAAUCGCUAGUAAACGCGGAUCAGCUAUGCCGCGUUGAAUACGUUCUCGGGUCUUGUACUCACCGCCCGUCACACCAAGAGAGCCGAUAAUGCCCGAAGCGCCUCCUUAGAGGCACAAAGGCAGGAUUGGUAAUAAGGGUGAAGUCGUAACAAGGCAUCCGUAGCGGAAGCUGUGGAUGGAUCACCUCCUUUCUAGGGAG